Non-coding RNA from Chrysemys picta bellii (western painted turtle), 2499 nucleotides. The record is from RefSeq and is a predicted model, not a curated record. Lineage: Eukaryota; Metazoa; Chordata; Testudines; Emydidae.
CGGAGUAUUGCUCUAGUGGCGAUUUAAGGAGACUGCAUAGUGGCUAGGGCAGGGCAGAAAGUGCUAUUCCAGAGAGCAUGUUUUCCUCUGCAGAUCUAUUCAGGUAGGUGGGCUUUUUGGGCCUGAUUCACCAUUGCCCUGCAUUGCAUAUAGUCACUUACAUUACACCAUUGCAGAGUGAAUAUAAGAAAGUACCAUGCUGAUCUGGCGAUUUUUGACACCCACUCUACAUUUGCUUUGCACUACUGUACAUUCCGUGACUACAAGGUUACAGGGAAUCAGGCCCUUUAUGUGGGAGAAGACAAGAGGGUGAGAGGUUUUACUGCUUAUAAAAGUAAGAGAAUAACACUGUAACAGUACUUCACAUCUGACCUGGGAUCUCUCUGCUGUUCUACAUUUGGGUUUCUGCGUAGCAAUAAACUGCUAAUAUGGUCAAAUUGUGGUCGUUUUGUGGUGAAGACAAAGACGCAUUAGUGGCUGUAUUAAAACCGAUGUACUCACUUCUCUUGUAACCCAAAACAGAUUUGAACAGAGGUGAAAAACUGCUGUGACAAUCGGUAAUGUGCCAUGGCUUCUGGGAGAUGCUUAGUCAAGAAAGGAAGUGUGGUAUUUCCAUUAAAGAAUCAGUCUUGAAUAUAAAUGUUCCUUAAAUGGAUUUCUAAUUCUGAUGUAUACAAAAAUCACCACAGGGGGCUAGAUAAACAACACUCCUCUACCCACAGUACUAGAUACAUUGUCCAGAUAUGUAAGUAUAACCCUUUCUAAUAGGGUUAGAGAUACCAGUUUAGUAUAAUUUUACUGGACUUUACAUACAAGAACUGCGAUGGCUAAGAGAGGGAUAAAGUAGGACAGUCUUCUUUUCAUUAGAAUCAAUAAGCUGUAAAGUAUUAUUUUAAUCAGUUCAGGAACUCCUCUGGGGAGCUAUAAUUAAUAAUGUUAUAUAAGCUAAGAAAAUGUUUGUGCAACCUGAAUACUUCCAGCUUCUUUUAUUAGUCCUCUUAAUGAGCCAUCAGAUUCUUGGCAAAGCAUACAUAGCAAAUACUAAAUUAAUCUUUUUCUGACAACUAACUAACACAAACCAGUUUCCAAUACAUAAGUAUUAAUGAGAAGUUUAGUUACAAUAAUUUAGCCCUACGCAGCUGCAAAAUAAGACAAGCAAAACAUGAAUGAAACUCAGUGGAAUCUGUUCUUAUUCCUAAUUAGGUCCUUCUCUGAAUCCAGUAGAGUGAAGUUACAAAAGUGAUGUACCAUUGCUAAAGCCAUUUAUUUGUCAAGGUUUGGAAAAUGGCAACAAAAUCCAUGCCAUCCUGAAGUAUACAAGUUAUAGGGGAAAUGACAAAUCAAUAAAUACAGGUUUUAAAGUCUCUGUCCUAUCACCAACAUGCUCAUGCCUUUGUCAUCAGUUGUCUUGAUUAUUAUAACCUCCUCUCUGCUUAACUUCAAAAUGCUGCUUCUAAAUCUUUCCAAAUGCCAUUAAAGUCCUUGUCCUCUCUUGUUCCAACCAUACCACUACUGCCCUUUUUGAUUUUCUAUCUUUUAUUGCAUCAUAUUCAAGCUCCUCGUUCUUACCUUCAGAGUCCUAUGGAAUCUCGCCCCUACCUAAAUUCCUGUCAUAAGUUCAUUCUACUUACUCUCUUGCUCCAUACGCUCGCUCCUUUCUCCUGUUUUCAGCAUGAUGUCUUUUCUCAUGUUGUGUCCACCACACUUAGAACAGUCUCCCACCUCUUUUCUGCUAAUAGCCCUGUCUCUCCUCCUUCUGUCUCUUCUUUAAAGUCCAUUUCUUACAGAAAUCCUUUCUACAUUUAUUUCUUCAUCACUGGUCUCUCCACACCCACCUACCUGUGUUUUGUCUUGUCUGCAUUAGGUCCCAAUCCAAGAGUGAUUUAAAUCAGUGGGAUGUUGCAGGGUGUGUCUGUCUGAGUAGAUCCUUCUGCAAGAUCAGUACCUUAUACUGCAAGCUCUCUAGGGCAUAGAUCAUGUCCCAGUGUGAGUUGUGUACAACAUUCUGUAUAUUUACAGUGCUGGUUUAUAAUUAUAUAAAAUGUAUCAAUACCAUUUUAAGAUGAGUCACUUGUUACUAUUCACAUAGGGCUGGAUCAUGCUCCUUUUGAUGUCCAUGGUAAAAUCACUAGCAGACUUCACUAGGAACGGAAGAUGAAAGCACCAGAUUCAAAGGUAAAUCAAAGGAAAAUGACAAUCCAGAGGACAUGACAUCCCUGACAGCACAUCAGCAGUCUAAAUGUUUGACGGAUCCAGUAAGCCACUUCAAAGGCACCAACAUGAAUGCCCUGUAACCAGCUGCUCCUUUACGGAAAAAUUUCUGAAAAUGCCAUCCAAAGAGGAAAAAAGAAACAGUUGGACCUGUUUGAUUUUGGACCAGAACUAUACUUACCUACAUGCUUCCAGCUUUCAUCCAGACCACAUCACACAAUCCAUUGUCUACAGCCAAGCCCUAAGAUACAACCGCAUUUUCUCCAAUCCCUCAGACAGAGACAAACA